RNAcentral lists this ribosomal RNA (412 nucleotides) under Klebsiella pneumoniae. RNAcentral describes it as "partial 23S ribosomal RNA". It matches the Rfam family "Bacterial large subunit ribosomal RNA", at positions 1 to 452 of the family's 2925-position model. The record is from RNAcentral. RNAcentral also lists the same sequence under 1 other name. Lineage: Bacteria; Pseudomonadati; Pseudomonadota; Gammaproteobacteria; Enterobacterales; Enterobacteriaceae.
GGUUAAGCGACUAAGCGUACACGGUGGAUGCCCUGGCAGUCAGAGGCGAUGAAGGACGUGCUAAUCUGCGAAAAGCGUCGGUAAGGUGAUAUGAACCGUUAUAACCGGCGAUGUCCGAAUGGGGAAACCCAGUGUGAUUCGUCACACUAUCGUUAACUGAAUACAUAGGUUAACGAGGCGAACCGGGGGAACUGAAACAUCUAAGUACCCCGAGGAAAAGAAAUCAACCGAGAUUCCCCCAGUAGCGGCGAGCGAACGGGGAGCAGCCCAGAGUCUGAAUCAGCUUGUGUGUUAGUGGAACGGUCUGGAAAGUCCGACGGUACAGGGUGAUAGUCCCGUACACCAAAAUGCACAGGCUGUGAACUCGAAGAGUAGGGCGGGACACGUGGUAUCCUGUCUGAAUAUGGGGGGA